Molecule: ribosomal RNA, 253 nt
Filed under: uncultured bacterium
Lineage: Bacteria
Description: partial 16S ribosomal RNA
Rfam family: Bacterial small subunit ribosomal RNA
Source: RNAcentral
UACGAAGGGGGCUAGCGUUGCUCGGAAUCACUGGGCGUAAAGAGCGUGUAGGCGGUUUGGUAGGUCCGCUGUGAAAACUCGAGGCUCAACCUCGAGACGCCGGUGGAAACCAUCAGGCUAGAGUCCGGAAGAGGAGAGUGGAAUUCCUGGUGUAGCGGUGAAAUGCGCAGAUAUCAGGAAGAACACCCGUGGCUAAGGCGGCUCUCUAGUACGGUACUGACGCUGAGACGCGAAAGCGUGGGGAGCGAACAGG